This 398-nucleotide ribosomal RNA is filed under the name uncultured crenarchaeote. RNAcentral's name for it is "bacterial SSU rRNA". It matches the Rfam family "Archaeal small subunit ribosomal RNA", at positions 347 to 745 of the family's 1478-position model. Lineage: Archaea; Thermoproteati; Thermoproteota. The record is from RNAcentral.
ACUUCGCAAUGUGCGAAAGCACGACAAGGUUAAUCCGAGUGGUUUCUGCUAAAGGAACCUUUUGCCAGUCCUAGAAACACUGGUGAAUAAGGGGUGGGCAAGUUCUGGUGUCAGCCGCCGCGGUAAAACCAGCACCUCAAGUGGUCAGGAGGAUUAUUGGGCCUAAAGCAUCCGUAGCCUGCUUUGUAAGUUUUCGGUUAAAUCCAUAUGCUCAACAUAUGGGCUGCCGGGAAUACUGCAUAGCUAGGGAGUGGGAGAGGUAGACGGUACUCCGUAGGAAGGGGUAAAAUCCUUUGAUCUAUGGAAGACCACCUGUGGCGAAGGCGGUCUACCAGAACACGUUCGACGGUGAGGGAUGAAAGCUGGGGGAGCAAACCGGGAUUAGAUACCCGCGUAGU